AUUAAGUUUAAUUUAAUAUAGGAUCUGCUCAAUGAUUUAUUAAAUAGCUGCAGUAUUUUGACUGUGCAAAGGUAGCAUAAUAAUUAGUCUUUUAAUUGAGGACUUGUAUGAAAGAUUUGAUGAGAAAUAAACUUUAUUAUUUAUAUAAUUAAAAUUUUAUUUUUAAGUAAAAAAGCUUAAAUUAUUUAAAGGGACGAUAAGACCCUAUAAAACUUUAUAAAUAUUAAUUUUAAUUUUUUUGGAUUUAUAAAUAUUUUAAUUUUAUUAUUUAUUUUAUUGGGGUGAUAAAAAAAAUUAUUAAACUUUUUUUAAAAUUUUACAUAAUUUAAUGAGUAUUUGAAUUAAAAUUUUUAGUUAAAGGAAAAAGUUACUUUAGGGAUAACAGCGUAAUUAAUUUUUUAAGUUCAAAUUUAAAAAUUAGUUUGCGACCUCGAUGUUGAAUUAAGAUUAAUCUUAGGUGCAAAAUUUUAAGUAUUAGGUCUGUUCGACCUUUAAAUUCUUACGUGA
RNAcentral lists this ribosomal RNA (507 nucleotides) under Macrosiphoniella kuwayamai. RNAcentral's name for it is "partial 16S ribosomal RNA". The record is from RNAcentral. Lineage: Eukaryota; Metazoa; Arthropoda; Insecta; Hemiptera; Aphididae.